Molecule: ribosomal RNA, 342 nt
Filed under: uncultured Bacteroidales bacterium
Lineage: Bacteria; Pseudomonadati; Bacteroidota; Bacteroidia; Bacteroidales
Description: bacterial SSU rRNA
Rfam family: Bacterial small subunit ribosomal RNA
Source: RNAcentral
GCUCAGGAUGAACGCUAGCUACAGGCUUAACACAUGCAAGUCGAGGGGUAGCAGGGUAGCAAUACCGCUGACGACCGGCGCACGGGUGAGUAACACGUAUCCAACCUUCCCAUAACUCGGGGAUAGCCUUUCGAAAGAAAGAUUAAUACCCGAUAGUACUUUAUUAAGGCAUCUUAAGAAAGUUAAAGAUUUAUUGGUUAUGGAUGGGGAUGCGUUCCAUUAGAUAGUUGGUGAGGUAACGGCUUACCAAGUCUUCGAUGGAUAGGGGUUCUGAGAGGAAGGUCCCCCACAUUGGUACUGAGACACGGACCAAACUCCUACGGGAGGCAGCAGUGAGGAAUA